GCAAACUUGGUCAUUUAGAGGAAGUAAAAGUCGUAACAAGGUCUCCGUUGGUGAACCAGCGGAGGGAUCAUUACUGAGUUGUAAAACUCUCAACCCUUAUGUGAACGUACCUCCAUUUUUUGGCUGUUGCUUCGGCGGCGCGCCCCUUUCUCUGAAAGUGUGCCCGCCGACAGUAGCGGCUCCUUAAACUCUUGUUUACCUAUAAUUUUUACUCUGAGUUGACAAAAACAAAAUAAGUCAAAACUUUCAACAACGGAUCUCUUGGUUCUGGCAUCGAUGAAGAACGCAGC
Molecule: unclassified non-coding RNA, 290 nt
Filed under: uncultured fungus
Lineage: Eukaryota; Fungi
Description: partial contains small subunit ribosomal RNA, internal transcribed spacer 1, and 5.8S ribosomal RNA
Rfam family: Eukaryotic small subunit ribosomal RNA (bases 1-73)
Source: RNAcentral